Molecule: ribosomal RNA, 263 nt
Filed under: uncultured bacterium
Lineage: Bacteria
Description: partial 16S ribosomal RNA
Rfam family: Bacterial small subunit ribosomal RNA
Source: RNAcentral
GUCCACGCCGUAAACGAUGUCUACUGGCCGUUGGCCUCCUUGAGGGGUUAGUGGCGCAGCUAACGCGAUAAGUAGACCGCCUGGGGAGUACGGCCGCAAGGUUAAAACUCAAAUGAAUUGACGGGGGCCCGCACAAGCGGUGGAGCAUGUGGUUUAAUUCGACGCAACGCGAAGAACCUUACCUACUCUUGACAUCCUGCGAAGCCUGUAGAGAUAUGGGUGUGCCUUCGGGAGCGCAGAGACAGGUGCUGCAUGGCUGUCGU